AGCUGGCUUUUUGCAGUGCAGCUCACCAUGAUGCACCACUGCAGCCAACAGCAGGAAAACGGAAGAGAGCGGACAGUAAGAAUGGAUCAGCUGCUGAGGACGAUGUGGUUGAUAUAAGAGAGCAGCAGACCAUGCAAGGACCAGAGGCUGAGAGACCCAACCCAAAUCCGUCACAGAAUGGAUCAGCUGCUGAGGACGAUGUGGUUGAUAUAAGAGAGCAGCAGACCAUGCAAGGACCAGAGGCUGAGAGACCCAACCCAAAUCCGUCACAGGUAAGAUUACUUAUGGGCCAGCCUUCAUCGUUGUUUGUUUAGUUUUUCUUUUACAGGAGUGAUUUGCUAUGAUGACUUGAUGCAUACAAUCUGAACAACAAAUUUCAUUCAUCUGCAAUAGAAUAGAAUAACAAAGACUUUAUUUUCAUGUCAGGCACUUCCAUUUUGCUCAGCAGGCUACAAUAAAGCUGAAUUGAGAUCUCUGGCUGACAUAAAACCAUGCCCAAAGAGUGCAGCAAGGCACAAUAUUCUAGAAAAGCUUGAUCAUAGUGAUGAUUAGACGUAGCAUUUCAUUAUAUGGUCUGAUGUUUGAACUCAAAAAAUAUUUAAAAUAUUGUGUUGGUCGCCCCAAAACUAGCUACAACAAGGAAUCCCUAAAAUAUCCAUCUCCAUCUUCGUCUGCUUAUCCGG
Long non-coding RNA from Perca flavescens (yellow perch), 683 nucleotides. RefSeq lists it as uncharacterized. Lineage: Eukaryota; Metazoa; Chordata; Actinopteri; Perciformes; Percidae. The record is from RefSeq and is a predicted model, not a curated record. The transcript has 3 exons.